RNAcentral lists this non-coding RNA (24 nucleotides) under Cricetulus griseus (Chinese hamster). Lineage: Eukaryota; Metazoa; Chordata; Mammalia; Rodentia; Cricetidae. The record is from RNAcentral.
GAACGUGGAGUGAGGACCCAGUCU